CCUAAUCCGUUUAACCUAUUUGAUCUAAUUUGAUCUGUUUAAUAAUCAAAUUAGACGAUCGAAUCGAAUUAUCUAUUUAAUAAAUAGAUCAGAUUCGUUCUAAAUUUUUGAUCUAUUUAAUAAAUAGAUCAGAUUUAGAUUAACAGAUUUCUGACUCAAUCUGCAUUGAUCUAAUCCGUGUCUGAUUUGCUCCAAUCCAACUGCCA
This 206-nucleotide long non-coding RNA is filed under the name Elaeis guineensis (African oil palm). Its description in RNAcentral is "long non-coding RNA (EGUI_LNC039692)". The record is from RNAcentral. Lineage: Eukaryota; Viridiplantae; Streptophyta; Magnoliopsida; Arecales; Arecaceae.